This 253-nucleotide ribosomal RNA is filed under the name uncultured bacterium. RNAcentral's name for it is "partial 16S ribosomal RNA". It matches the Rfam family "Bacterial small subunit ribosomal RNA", at positions 524 to 776 of the family's 1533-position model. The record is from RNAcentral.
UACGUAGGGGGCAAGCGUUGUCCGGAUUUAUUGGGCGUAAAGAGCGUGUAGGCGGCCGCACAGGUCCGUUGUGAAAACUGGAGGCUUAACCUUCAGACGUCGAUGGAAACCGUGCGGCUAGAGUCCGGAAGAGGAGAGUGGAAUUCCUGGUGUAGCGGUGAAAUGCGCAGAUAUCAGGAGGAACACCGGUGGCGAAGGCGGCAUCCUGGACCGGUAUUGACGCUGAGGCGCGAAAGCCAGGGGAGCAAACGGG